RNAcentral lists this ribosomal RNA (233 nucleotides) under uncultured bacterium. RNAcentral's name for it is "partial 16S ribosomal RNA". It matches the Rfam family "Bacterial small subunit ribosomal RNA", at positions 118 to 351 of the family's 1533-position model. The record is from RNAcentral.
UGGGUAACCUGCCCUGUACACACGGAUAACAUACCGAAAGGUAUGCUAAUACGAGAUAAUAUGCUUUUAUCGCAUGGUAGAAGUAUCAAAGCUCUGGCGGUACAGGAUGGUCCCGCGUCUGAUUAGCUAGUUGGUAAGGUAACGGCUUACCAAGGCGACGAUCAGUAGCCGACCUGAGAGGGUGAUCGGCCACAUUGGAACUGAGACACGGUCCAAACUCCUACGGGAGGNAG